Fukomys damarensis (Damara mole-rat) is the source of this 342-nucleotide long non-coding RNA. RefSeq lists it as uncharacterized. Lineage: Eukaryota; Metazoa; Chordata; Mammalia; Rodentia; Bathyergidae. The transcript is spliced from 3 exons. The record is from RefSeq and is a predicted model, not a curated record.
AGAUGUGGAUUAUUCCAUCCUUGUGGGUGUGACCUAGAAGGCUGUAUUUUGGUUCCUGUCUCCUCUCUCUUUCUUGGCUGCCGUGGGUUGAGCAGCACUCCUGCUGUACAUCCUUUUACCAUUCUAUAUCCGCCUUGCAGCCGGCCAACUAUGGAUUGAACCCUCUGAAAAAUUGGCUGCGAUUAUAGCUGCUAUUUGAGCUCAUCGUAGAUCACAAUGAUUCUCCAUGAUUCAUUUUGUUUCUAGAGGAUAGAAUGGCAAGAUAAACAGUGAUACGAUUGGGACCACUGCUCUUGCAUAUUUUAUGGGCUGGGAAUUUAGCUCAGUGACGCUACCACCUGC